UGGGGAAUUUUGCACAAUGGGCGCAAGCCUGAUGCAGCCAUGCCGCGUGUAUGAAGAAGGCCUUCGGGUUGUAAAGUACUUUCAGCGGGGAGGAAGGGAGUAAAGUUAAUACCUUUGCUCAUUGACGUUACCCGCAGGAGAAGCACCGGCUAACUCCGUGCCAGCAGCCGCGGUAAUACGGAGGGUGCAAGCGUUAAUCGGAAUUACUGGGCGUAAAGCGCACGCAGGCGGGUUGUUAAGUCAGAUGUGAAAUCCCCGGGCUCAACCUGGGAACUGCAGCUGAUACUGGCAAGCUUGAGUCUCGUAGAGGGGGGUAGAAUUCCAGGUGUAGCGGUGAAAUGCGUAGAGAUCUGGAGGAAUACCGGUGGCGAAGGCGGCCCCCUGGACGAAGACUGACGCUCAGGUGCGAAAGCGUGGGGAGCAAACAGG
Molecule: ribosomal RNA, 429 nt
Filed under: Chloroflexota bacterium
Lineage: Bacteria; Bacillati; Chloroflexota
Description: Chloroflexi bacterium partial 16S ribosomal RNA
Rfam family: Bacterial small subunit ribosomal RNA
Source: RNAcentral